Molecule: ribosomal RNA, 303 nt
Filed under: uncultured bacterium
Lineage: Bacteria
Description: partial 16S ribosomal RNA
Rfam family: Bacterial small subunit ribosomal RNA
Source: RNAcentral
AGCAGUCGCCACCGGGAAUACGAAGGGGGCUAGCGUUGUUCGGAAUUACUGGGCGUAAAGCGCGCGCAGGCGGUCUUCCAAGUCAGUGGUGAAAGCCCGGAGCUCAACUCCGGAACUGCCAUUGAAACUGUUAGACUUGAGGACGAGAGAGGUGAGUGGAAUUCCCAGUGUAGAGGUGAAAUUCGUAGAUAUUGGGAAGAACACCGGUGGCGAAGGCGGCUCACUGGCUUGUUUCUGACGCUCAGGCGCGAUAGCGUGGGGAUCAAACAGGAUUAGAUACCCCCGUAGUCCCUGUCUCUUAUA